This 253-nucleotide ribosomal RNA is filed under the name uncultured bacterium. RNAcentral describes it as "partial 16S ribosomal RNA". It matches the Rfam family "Bacterial small subunit ribosomal RNA", at positions 524 to 776 of the family's 1533-position model. The record is from RNAcentral.
UACGAAGGGGGCUAGCGUUGCUCGGAAUUACUGGGCGUAAAGGGCGCGUAGGCGGAUAGUUUAGUCAGAGGUGAAAGCCCAGGGCUCAACCUUGGAACUGCCUUUGAUACUGGCUAUCUUGAGUUCGGGAGAGGUGAGUGGAAUGCCGAGUGUAGAGGUGAAAUUCGUAGAUAUUCGGCGGAACACCAGUGGCGAAGGCGACUCACUGGCCCGAUACUGACGCUGAGGCGCGAAAGCGUGGGGAACAAACAGG